UACGAAGGGGGCUAGCGUUGCUCGGAAUCACUGGGCGUAAAGCGUGCGCAGGCGGUUCGUUGUGUCGGCGGUGAAAGCCCCGGGCUCAACCUGGGAAUGGCCGUUGAAACUGGCGAACUGGAGUGUGGCAGAGGGGGGUGGAAUUCCGCGUGUAGCAGUGAAAUGCGUAGAGAUGCGGAGGAACACCAAUUGCGAAGGCAGCUCGCUGGGACGUUACUGACGCUGAGACGCGAAAGCGUGGGGAGCAAACAGG
RNAcentral lists this ribosomal RNA (253 nucleotides) under uncultured bacterium. RNAcentral's name for it is "partial 16S ribosomal RNA". It matches the Rfam family "Bacterial small subunit ribosomal RNA", at positions 524 to 776 of the family's 1533-position model. The record is from RNAcentral.